GUGAAUCAUCGAAUUUUUGAACGCAUAUUGCACUCUCUGGUAUUCCGGAGAGUACGCCUGUUUGAGGGUAAUUAAAAAGAAUCUUCUACCAAUUUUUUUGUUCAAAGGAAAUGAGCUCUCCGCGCUUAUAGCGGUAGCUUGAAAUAAAUGGCUAAGACUCACUUUAGUUGAGACGCGUAAUAAUAUUAUUUCGCGAA
RNAcentral lists this unclassified non-coding RNA (197 nucleotides) under Ambisporaceae sp. RNAcentral describes it as "partial contains 5.8S ribosomal RNA and internal transcribed spacer 2". The stretch from base 1 to 71 matches the Rfam family "5.8S ribosomal RNA", at positions 84 to 154 of the family's 154-position model. Lineage: Eukaryota; Fungi; Glomeromycota; Glomeromycetes; Archaeosporales; Ambisporaceae. The record is from RNAcentral.